Molecule: ribosomal RNA, 254 nt
Filed under: uncultured bacterium
Lineage: Bacteria
Description: partial 16S ribosomal RNA
Rfam family: Bacterial small subunit ribosomal RNA
Source: RNAcentral
UACGUAGGGUGCAAGCGUUGUCCGGAAUUAUUGGGCGUAAAGAGCUCGUAGGCGGCUUGUCGCGUCAACUGUGAAAACCCGUGGCUCAACCAUGUGGUCUGCAGUCGAUACGGGCAGGCUAGAAUUCGGUAGGGGAGACUGGAAUUCCUGAUGUAGCGGUGAAAUGCGCAGAUAUCAGGAGGAACACCGGUGGCGAAGGCGGGUCUCUGGGCCGAUAUUGACGCUGAGGAGCGAAAGCGUGGGGAGCGAACAGG